This is a non-coding RNA of Cherax quadricarinatus, 311 nucleotides long. The record is from RefSeq and is a predicted model, not a curated record. NCBI's taxonomy places the organism in Eukaryota, Metazoa, Arthropoda, Malacostraca, Decapoda, Parastacidae.
CGACCAAUCAGCAAGUCACUUGAGUUGCUCCUGCGUGGGCUCGACCAAUCAGCAAGCAGCAUGCUGGUGACUUCCCGGGUUUAAAAUUAGUGAUUCACUCCUCUUCUGUUUUAAUUCAUUUUUACCCUUUUUAUGAUGAUUGAUGCGAUGGAAGAUGAUGAGUGGGAUAACAUACCUACGGUGGAGGACGUCCUGUCAUCAGUCUUAAAGAGCACGAGCAAGUUUGGCAAAGUGAAGCUGGUUGCAACCAUUUUUCACUCAAAAGUCUACAAACUUGAAGAAAGAUGUUUCGCCAGAAAAUGGAGUUGAAA